UCUUUGCAUAGCCCAAUGCCCAACACUUGGGGACUGAGAUCGGACACCAUGAGAAAGGGGAGGGGAAGGUGGAGAGAAGAGAAGAUGCCAUAGAAUUCUGAACAAAGGAUAAAUGAUUACGGCAGAGCUAAAUUCACAGCAUGUGGGAAGGCUUCACCAUCAAAAGGAUAAACAGCACAGAUGAGAACGCUUCCAACUGUGAUUCAUGAAGCCUAUUGUCUUAGACUUAUAGACUGUACAAUGACCCUGCUUCAUGGAAAGGACCCUGAUAGCAACACACAGAGCUGGGGUCCACCCAGGGUCCCAUGUGUGCUAGGUCCUUACGCCAAAGCGCCGCGGCAGGAAACUUCAUCUGGAAUGCUGAAAUUAAAGGUGAACUUCCU
Molecule: non-coding RNA, 383 nt
Organism: Mus caroli (Ryukyu mouse)
Lineage: Eukaryota; Metazoa; Chordata; Mammalia; Rodentia; Muridae
Source: RefSeq, a predicted model, not a curated record